Molecule: ribosomal RNA, 504 nt
Filed under: uncultured bacterium
Lineage: Bacteria
Description: partial 16S ribosomal RNA
Rfam family: Bacterial small subunit ribosomal RNA
Source: RNAcentral
ACUCAAAUGAAUAGACGGGGGCUCACACAAGCGGUGGAGCAUGUGGCUUAAUUCGAGGCUACGCGCAAAACCUUAUCCCGGGCUUGACAUGCACGGAUUAGGAUGCGGAAACGUAUCCGACGCCGCAAGGUGGAACGUGCACAGGUGCUGCAUGGCUGUCGUCAGCUCGUGCCGUGAGGUGUUGGGUUCAGUCCCAUAACGAGCGAAACCCCUGUGGUCGGUUGCCAGCGGGUCAUGCCGGGCACUCGGACCAGACUGCCGGUGCAAGCCGGAGGAAGGCGGGGACGACGUCAAGUCAUCAUGGCCCUUAUGCCCGGGGCUGCACACGUGCUACAAUGGGGCGCCAUAAAGCGAUGCAAACGUGCAAACGCGAGCCAAUCGCCCAAAUCGCCCCCCAGUUCGGAUUGCGGGCUGCAACCCGCCCGCAUGAAGCCGGAAUCGCUAGUAAUCGCGGAUCAGCACGCCGCGGUGAAUUCGUACCUGAGCCUUGUACACACCGCCCGU